RNAcentral lists this unclassified non-coding RNA (367 nucleotides) under soil metagenome. RNAcentral's name for it is "partial contains 5.8S ribosomal RNA, internal transcribed spacer 2, and large subunit ribosomal RNA". The stretch from base 1 to 120 matches the Rfam family "5.8S ribosomal RNA", at positions 35 to 154 of the family's 154-position model. The record is from RNAcentral.
GAUGAAGAACGCAGCGAAAUGCGAUAAGUAAUGUGAAUUGCAGAAUUCAGUGAAUCAUCGAAUCUUUGAACGCACAUUGCGCCCGUCGGCAUUCCGGCGGGCACGCCUGUCCGAGCGUCAUCAGGAACCCAUCGGGCGGUCCCCUCGGGGGCCGCCCGGCGUUGGGGCGCGCCGCCCGCGCCGUCAGGCGAAAGGCGGCGGCCCUCGAACCCAUCGGCGGUGCAUCGACGCGAGACCGACCGGCGUUGCGGAAUCGUCAAUCCGCCGGCGGCCGUCGAAGCUCCCUUCCGAAAGCCCCACGAGACGAAAAGGACCUCGGAUCAGGCGGGGUUACCCGCUGAACUUAAGCAUAUCAAUAAGCGGAGGA